CUUUACUGUAGCUUUGUAUUGGACUUUGACCAGAUCUGUGUAGGAUAGGUGGGAGGCUUUGAAGUGAGGUCGCUAGAUCUCAUGGAGCCAACGUUGAAAUACCACCCUGGUGUGUUUGAGGUUCUAACCUAGGUCCAUUAUCUGGAUCGGGGACAGUGCAUGGUAGGCAGUUUGACUGGGGCGGUCUCCUCCCAAAGCGUAACGGAGGAGUUCGAAGGUACGCUAGUUACGGUCGGACAUCGUGACGAUAGUGCAAUGGCAUAAGCGUGCUUAACUGCGAGACUGACAAGUCGAGCAGAUGCGAAAGCAGGAAAUAGUGAUCCGGUGGUUCUGUAUGGAAGGGCCAUCGCUCAACGGAUAAAAGGUA
Molecule: ribosomal RNA, 367 nt
Filed under: uncultured organism
Description: bacterial LSU rRNA
Rfam family: Bacterial large subunit ribosomal RNA
Source: RNAcentral